This 357-nucleotide long non-coding RNA is filed under the name Physcomitrium patens. RNAcentral's name for it is "long non-coding RNA (PPAT_LNC013208)". The record is from RNAcentral. Lineage: Eukaryota; Viridiplantae; Streptophyta; Bryopsida; Funariales; Funariaceae.
UUGGUUAUGAUUUGAUUUAGGAUUUGGUUUAAGGUUUGAUUUAGGAUUUAGGAUUUAGGAUUUGAAUUAGGAUUUGUUUUAGAAUUAGGAUUUGAUUAGGUUUUGGUUUAGGAUUUAGGGUUUGGAUUAUAGUUUGAUUUAGGAUUUGAUUAGGAUUUUAUUUAGGAUUUAGGGUUUGAUUAGGAUUUAAAUUAGGAUUUAGGAUUUAAUUAGGAUUUGGUUUAGGAUUUAGGGUUUAAGAUUUGAUUAGGGUUUAAUUUAGGAUUUUAUUAGGAUUUAUUUAGGGUUUAAGAUUUAAUUAAUUUGGGCCUAAAGUUUGAAUGAAGUCCAAUAGGAUUUUAAUUAGGAUUAAAUUAA